Molecule: non-coding RNA, 65 nt
Organism: Podarcis lilfordi (Lilford's wall lizard)
Lineage: Eukaryota; Metazoa; Chordata; Lepidosauria; Squamata; Lacertidae
Source: the annotation of a GenBank genome assembly
GCAGCUCAAUGUGAGAGCAUCUGCCUUAAAUCCAGAAGGUUCCAGGUUCAAUCCUGGCUUCUCCA